Molecule: ribosomal RNA, 452 nt
Filed under: uncultured bacterium
Lineage: Bacteria
Description: partial 16S ribosomal RNA
Rfam family: Bacterial small subunit ribosomal RNA
Source: RNAcentral
AGCGAACGCUGGCGGCAGGCUUAACACAUGCAAGUCGAACGCCCCGCAAGGGGAGUGGCGGACGGGUGAGUAACACGUGGGAACGUACCCUUUGGUUCGGAAUAACUUGGGGAAACUCAAGCUAAUACCGGAUAAGCCCUUAUGGGGAAAGGUUUACUGCCGAAGGAUCGGCCCGCGUCUGAUUAGCUAGUUGGUGAUGUAAUGGCUCACCAAGGCGACGAUCAGUAGCUGGUCUGAGAGGAUAAUCAGCCACACUGGGACUGAGACACGGCCCAGACUCCUACGGGAGGCAGCAGUGGGGAAUAUUGGACAAUGGGGGCAACCCUGAUCCAGCCAUGCCGCGUGAGUGAUGAAGGCCUUAGGGUUGUAAACCUCUUUCAGCACCGACGAAGCGCAAGUGACGGUAGGUGCAGAAGAAGGACCGGCCAACUACGUGCCAGCCGCCGCCGUAA